UGAAGAACGAUUUGGCAUUUAAAUACAUGAUCAUACAAAUGACACAAUGUUCAUCAAACAACAAAGUAUUAGCAAACGAAAGUAACGAAAAAGUGUUUAGAUGGCUGUGUCCAAACUACGAUGUUCACGAAAUGUACAUUUAAGUGAAAAAUAACAACAAAAAACAGACCCAUACAGUGCGUGAUGUAAAAACGAUGACAUAAUUUUGAAAUGGUAUUUAACCAAAAAAAUGGAAAGGAUUCUUCAAAAGAACAUUUGACGGACAAAUAUUUAGAGAAAUUAAUAUAUUUAGCAAAUCCUCGACAAGAAGAAGUGUCAAAUUUAUCUCGACGUCCUGAAAUUUGGUCAUUUAGCAAUAACAACCUCUUAUUAAUAAUAGAUUACCUUAAAAGCUUUAUAACGGGUACAGUGUCAUCUGUUUUACUUGUUAGCGCACAAAAAUAAAGCUUACAAAGAGAAAAAUAUUUUUCGAGUCAACAAUAGCUAAAUUUGGUGGGAAGUCUAUCAUUGAUAGCAAAAGAAAUAUUGAGAUAAGUAAUUGAAAUGAAGACAAUUUUUCACCAUGAUAAAAAAACAAAGUUGCUUGAAACCAGUUGACAGUCAAAUAGCGGGCCAAGCAGCAGUGAAAUCAUUACCAUGUAUUGAAGAACUUAAAGAAAAAUACAAGACCAACUACAAAAUAAGUAGUUUCUCAAAGAACAAUACGAGGAGACAAUCCAUGAACAAGAGUGUAAUCAGACAAUUAAGGGGCAGAAACUGGAGAGAAAUUUGUCACGAUUCUUUGAUCACACUUCCUCAACAGAAAGGAUUUCGUGACUUUCUAAUGAAGGCAGUGGAAGACAGGCAACUUCCAGGAAGACUUAAUACAUCUCGAAAUCAGUUGGCUCAACUUGGACAUCAAGCCCGCGUUAAAAAUUUCGUCGUAUUGCAUCAAAUGUGCAAAAGAAAGUGGAAGUAGUUGGUGCCAUAAAAGAAAUUGUACAGGAAAAUGAUCUUAAUAUUGAGAUGCCUGAAAAACCUCUUUUUUGCACGACAUUAUCUGCUGAAGCACAAUAUGCUAUGUUUAAAGGUUACGAAGACAUACUGUUCGAUAAAAUUACGUCUUUGAGGACUAAUAAUGAGAAAUUUUGGCCACUAAAACGAACACAGAGUCCAAAAGUGAAACCAACUGUUUCAUUAUUUGCCAUGUCGCCCUUAAAAAAUCAGCAAAAUAAUUCACUUAAAAAUUCUAAUUCAGUAGUAAUCACAACAAGCUACGACAAUAAAGAAAUAACAAAUCCAGAUGUUAAAAGAAAGACGCUUCAACGAUACAUGAGCGUACAUUUUAAACAUGCCAUGAAUAUUUUAGAUGAAGUAAAAAAACACGAAACUAAUCAUUCGUUUUCGACACAAAAAUUGGAAAAUAUAAUUACACAGAAGAAGUUAUGCAAACAGUUCAGUAGAUGGAGUGAAAGUUUAACAAAACAGUUUGAAUUCGUCGAAAAACAAACAAGCAAAUGAUGAACAUCGGCCUCGGUAGAACCAAGUCAGUACGAUCACCAACACAUCGAAACAAGAUGGCCGUAUCAACAGUGUGACUGCAUAUAUUAACCAGGUAGCUUUCUUCCAUGCCCAAUGUAACUUUCUUAUUUACUUGUUACUUGUAUCAUGAGUAAAGCUUCAUGGAAAAUAACGAUUACCUGUUUUCUUCUCUCAUUUCAUGUUGAAAUAAAUUGAGCCCAUUAGUAUUUAAACACUUCAUUACAUGUUAUAAAGUACACGGUAAGAGUACAAUUUAACGAGCCCCUUUUUCAUAACCUAAUGCAAUGAUAUUGCAGUUCGUUUGAUUCGGAUUUUGUAGAUAGGAAUAUUAAAAUUUUACACUUUGCGUUAAAAA
Molecule: long non-coding RNA, 1876 nt
Organism: Xenia sp. Carnegie-2017
Lineage: Eukaryota; Metazoa; Cnidaria; Anthozoa; Malacalcyonacea; Xeniidae
Exons: 2
Source: RefSeq, a predicted model, not a curated record